This 241-nucleotide ribosomal RNA is filed under the name Acartia sp. ACB-2005. RNAcentral's name for it is "partial 16S large subunit ribosomal RNA". The record is from RNAcentral. Lineage: Eukaryota; Metazoa; Arthropoda; Copepoda; Calanoida; Acartiidae.
UUUAAUUAAAAAUAUUUUUAGUUAAUUAAUAAACUUGUUUGGGGAAAAAUUUAAUUCAAAUAUUAAUUAAAUAAGAAUGUAGAUCUAAUUUUAAUUUCAAGAGAUAGUUACUCUAGGGAUAACAGCGUUAUUUAUUAUGAAGGUCUAAUUUAAUAAUAAGUUUGCGACCUCGAUGUUGAAUUAGAUAAACUGACCAGAGCAAAAAUUGGCCUGUAGGUGAUUGUUCGUCACUUUAUAAUCU